Long non-coding RNA from Canis lupus familiaris (dog), 2466 nucleotides. RefSeq lists it as uncharacterized. The transcript is spliced from 3 exons. The record is from RefSeq and is a predicted model, not a curated record. Lineage: Eukaryota; Metazoa; Chordata; Mammalia; Carnivora; Canidae.
GUUUAGGAGGAUUGAUUAAAUGAAUUAGGGCAAUGGCAGUAGGAAUGGAAAUGGAGAGACAGUUAUGACAGGUGUUUGCAAAUAAAGCCAAAAGAAAUUGGCAUACCACCAAUUUGAAUAAUGUUGAAAAAGUGAUCUCAAAGAUCUCUUGGCAAAGAAAAUGCAAAGCUGCUUUCAAUAGUCUAAUUGUCAGUGGGAAUAGUAGACUAUUACUUCAAAACUAUAUUAAAAAUGAAUAAUUUUGUUAAAGUAAAAACUAAUGUUUUCAGCAUAAGAUAAUACUAUGAAACUGAACAAAGGACACUUUAUUUAAAAUGAGUUUGGGAGGCCAGAAUGGGGGGCUCAUCAUCAGUGAGCUGUCUAUACUCAUCAUCAGUUAUAGACUCCAACAUAAAAAGAGGUACCUUGCAUCCCCAGCAGGAAGAAUCCUAUACUUUGCUACUAGAACAGGAAGAAGAAAGAUUUUCCCCUUCCCUGGCAACAGCUUAGCCAAUUAGAGACUGUCACAACUCAGCCAAUGAAAAACCACUACACUUCCAACUCCUAGUUUACUCCAGUGGACUUUCUAUUUGUAACAGCUCCUCCCGAACUCCCUCCCCCUUUCCUGCAUAAAACAGCAUUCUGAGGAUCCUAGGUGACUCGGUUAAGUGUCUGAUUCUUCAUUUCAGCUGUAGUUAUGAACUCAGGGUUGUGAAAUUGAGGCCCAUGUGGGGCUCUGCCCUGGGUGUGGAGCCUGCUUAACAUUCUCUCUCUCCCUCUGCCCUCCCUUAAAAAAAGCAUUCCUCCCUGUUCUCUGGACUCGCUUAUAGUUUUACCAUAGCUUGCAUUUCCCAAAUUGUAACUCUCAGCUAUUCCCAAAUAAACCCAUUUUUGCUGGUAAACUAACUGACAAUUUUAAGGUUAACAAUAGAAAAAUUCAACCAAGGGAAUUAAAUAAAACCAUGUUAUCUUAUAUUUGAUUGUAAAUAUGACUAUCAGCUCCUGCCCCCUUUUUUGGUAAACAUGCAAUUUAGCUCUGUCCUCUAAAAUUCCUAGAAGCAAUGACAGUGUGCAAUCCAGUUCUUUGAUUAUUGUCUCUCAAUAUCAUCUUUAUAUCAAUAGGAAAUAGAAUCCAACUUGAAGUGGUUUUUACUCACCCAAUAUGGGACUGUUUGGCAGCUAAUUCCAGAUAUAAGAGGUAGUAUUCUGCAAGACAAGUAACACAUUUUCUCUAACAAAUCAAUGGCAUGUUAAAAAAAGAAAAGGGUGCCAUUGUAGGAUAAAAGACAUGUAAGAAACAUAGUAAAUUUAGACCUCAUUAAAAUGACUAAGCUGUUCAAACUUACCUUCAGUAUAAUCAGAAAGACAUUGUAUGGUAUUAAGAAUUUGCUCUUAAUUCAGUUAGGUAUACUGUUUGGUAGGAAGAAGGAGUAAGAAAAAUGUCCUUAUAAGUUGAAGAUGUACUCUGAAGUUUGUUUCUGGUGAAAAGAUAUAUCUAGAGUUUCCCUUAAAAUACUAAUGAAUAUGGAAUAAUGUAUGGAGAUGAGUUGGUACAGUGGGAAGGGGAACAGAUGUAAAUAGCUCAGUGAAAUGUUGAAAAUUAUUGAAGCUGGGUGAUAUGUUUAUGCAACUCAUUAACCUUUAUUCUCUAACUUUAUGUAUGUUUGGGAAUUUCCACAAAAGGAUGAUCAAAGAAAAGAUUCCUCCUUCGUUUUAGAUGAUAAGAUGUCAUUCCCCAAAUAUUUUCAACCUGUCAUAGAAAUGAUGGUGGGAUAAGACCUACAGAUGGCCUAAAGCUGGACGUGGCAGGUAGAAGGGAGUGAUAAACCACAUCAACUGCUGCAAGGAGGAGCUCUCUGAAUGGAGGAAUGUUUCCAGGGUAAAAAGACCCCAGCAAGCCCAAACAUUCAAGUUUGAAUGACCUUCCAUCUCUGUAGCUGCCAUUUGGCAGCCUUCAAAGCUGAUGGGUUGGCGGUGCUGGGUUUGCCUCUGGGCCUGUCAUUUGUCGUGUUGUUGGACCGCUGAUGGGCUGUCACCGCUUACCCUGUAAGACUGCACUUUCCUCUUCCAAUUUUGGCUGCUACUAGAAGAUAAAAAUCAAGCAGCCACACAGCCCUUCACCCUUCUUUAGAGCCUAGUGGUUGAAUCAGCUGAGAAGUGAAAAACACAAUCCUUCCAUUGUCUUACCAAAUACAUAGGGUUUGCAUAUUCCACUGCAAAUUACCACUAAAAAAAAAUCAGAAUUAGAAUGCAUUUGGUGUUCCAUACCUUGCUGCUAGUUAAUGCCAUGCCACCCUGAAGACUCAUCUCUCCUUUUGGGUUUAAUUGGGUUCUUUUCUGUUGCUUUCAUAUCAGUUUGCACCUGACUGACAUAUACUGCUGCUGAUUACCAAGUGAGUUGUUCAGUGAGCUAGAGGUAUGAUAAAUUAAACAUGAUAUGUAUCACUCAAUCCAUCUUUGGCUGCUUCAUGGUACAUUAUAAUUUGG